Molecule: ribosomal RNA, 2905 nt
Filed under: Escherichia coli
Lineage: Bacteria; Pseudomonadati; Pseudomonadota; Gammaproteobacteria; Enterobacterales; Enterobacteriaceae
Also listed under: 1 other name
Description: 23S ribosomal RNA
Rfam family: Bacterial large subunit ribosomal RNA
Source: RNAcentral
GGUUAAGCGACUAAGCGUACACGGUGGAUGCCCUGGCAGUCAGAGGCGAUGAAGGACGUGCUAAUCUGCGAUAAGCGUCGGUGAGGUGAUAUGAACCGUUAUAACCGGCGAUUUCCGAAUGGGGAAACCCAGUGUGUUUCGACACACUAUCAUUAACUGAAUCCAUAGGUUAAUGAGGCGAACCGGGGGAACUGAAACAUCUAAGUACCCCGAGGAAAAGAAAUCAACCGAGAUUCCCCCAGUAGCGGCGAGCGAACGGGGAGGAGCCCAGAGCCUGAAUCAGUGUGUGUGUUAGUGGAAGCGUCUGGAAAGGCGCGCGAUACAGGGUGACAGCCCCGUACACAAAAAUGCACAUAUUGUGAGCUCGAUGAGUAGGGCGGGACACGUGGUAUCCUGUCUGAAUAUGGGGGGACCAUCCUCCAAGGCUAAAUACUCCUGACUGACCGAUAGUGAACCAGUACCGUGAGGGAAAGGCGAAAAGAACCCCGGCGAGGGGAGUGAAAAAGAACCUGAAACCGUGUACGUACAAGCAGUGGGAGCCUCUUAAUGGGGUGACUGCGUACCUUUUGUAUAAUGGGUCAGCGACUUAUAUUCUGUAGCAAGGUUAACCGAAUAGGGGAGCCGAAGGGAAACCGAGUCUUAACUGGGCGUUAAGUUGCAGGGUAUAGACCCGAAACCCGGUGAUCUAGCCAUGGGCAGGUUGAAGGUUGGGUAACACUAACUGGAGGACCGAACCGACUAAUGUUGAAAAAUUAGCGGAUGACUUGUGGCUGGGGGUGAAAGGCCAAUCAAACCGGGAGAUAGCUGGUUCUCCCCGAAAGCUAUUUAGGUAGCGCCUCGUGAAUUCAUCUCCGGGGGUAGAGCACUGUUUCGGCAAGGGGGUCAUCCCGACUUACCAACCCGAUGCAAACUGCGAAUACCGGAGAAUGUUAUCACGGGAGACACACGGCGGGUGCUAACGUCCGUCGUGAAGAGGGAAACAACCCAGACCGCCAGCUAAGGUCCCAAAGUCAUGGUUAAGUGGGAAACGAUGUGGGAAGGCCCAGACAGCCAGGAUGUUGGCUUAGAAGCAGCCAUCAUUUAAAGAAAGCGUAAUAGCUCACUGGUCGAGUCGGCCUGCGCGGAAGAUGUAACGGGGCUAAACCAUGCACCGAAGCUGCGGCAGCGACGCUUAUGCGUUGUUGGGUAGGGGAGCGUUCUGUAAGCCUGUGAAGGUGGCCUGUGAGGGUUGCUGGAGGUAUCAGAAGUGCGAAUGCUGACAUAAGUAACGAUAAAGCGGGUGAAAAGCCCGCUCGCCGGAAGACCAAGGGUUCCUGUCCAACGUUAAUCGGGGCAGGGUGAGUCGACCCCUAAGGCGAGGCCGAAAGGCGUAGUCGAUGGGAAACAGGUUAAUAUUCCUGUACUUGGUGUUACUGCGAAGGGGGGACGGAGAAGGCUAUGUUGGCCGGGCGACGGUUGUCCCGGUUUAAGCGUGUAGGCUGGUUUUCCAGGCAAAUCCGGAAAAUCAAGGCUGAGGCGUGAUGACGAGGCACUACGGUGCUGAAGCGACAAAUGCCCUGCUUCCAGGAAAAGCCUCUAAGCAUCAGGUAACAUCAAAUCGUACCCCAAACCGACACAGGUGGUCAGGUAGAGAAUACCAAGGCGCUUGAGAGAACUCGGGUGAAGGAACUAGGCAAAAUGGUGCCGUAACUUCGGGAGAAGGCACGCUGAUAUGUAGGUGAAGCGACUUGCUCGUGGAGCUGAAAUCAGUCGAAGAUACCAGCUGGCUGCAACUGUUUAUUAAAAACACAGCACUGUGCAAACACGAAAGUGGACGUAUACGGUGUGACGCCUGCCCGGUGCCGGAAGGUUAAUUGAUGGGGUUAGCGGUAACGCGAAGCUCUUGAUCGAAGCCCCGGUAAACGGCGGCCGUAACUAUAACGGUCCUAAGGUAGCGAAAUUCCUUGUCGGGUAAGUUCCGACCUGCACGAAUGGCGUAAUGAUGGCCAGGCUGUCUCCACCCGAGACUCAGUGAAAUUGAACUCGCUGUGAAGAUGCAGUGUACCCGCGGCAAGACGGAAAGACCCCGUGAACCUUUACUAUAGCUUGACACUGAACAUUGAGCCUUGAUGUGUAGGAUAGGUGGGAGGCUUUGAAGUGUGGACGCCAGUCUGCAUGGAGCCGACCUUGAAAUACCACCCUUUAAUGUUUGAUGUUCUAACGUGGGCCCCUUACCGGGGUUGCGGACAGUGUCUGGUGGGUAGUUUGACUGGGGCGGUCUCCUCCUAAAGAGUAACGGAGGAGCACGAAGGUUGGCUAAUCCUGGUCGGACAUCAGGAGGUUAGUGCAAUGGCAUAAGCCAGCUUGACUGCGAGCGUGACGGCGCGAGCAGGUGCGAAAGCAGGUCAUAGUGAUCCGGUGGUUCUGAAUGGAAGGGCCAUCGCUCAACGGAUAAAAGGUACUCCGGGGAUAACAGGCUGAUACCGCCCAAGAGUUCAUAUCGACGGCGGUGUUUGGCACCUCGAUGUCGGCUCAUCACAUCCUGGGGCUGAAGUAGGUCCCAAGGGUAUGGCUGUUCGCCAUUUAAAGUGGUACGCGAGCUGGGUUUAGAACGUCGUGAGACAGUUCGGUCCCUAUCUGCCGUGGGCGCUGGAGAACUGAGGGGGGCUGCUCCUAGUACGAGAGGACCGGAGUGGACGCAUCACUGGUGUUCGGGUUGUCAUGCCAAUGGCACUGCCCGGUAGCUAAAUGCGGAAGAGAUAAGUGCUGAAAGCAUCUAAGCACGAAACUUGCCCCGAGAUGAGUUCUCCCUGAGACUUAGAGUCUCCUGAAGGAACGUUGAAGACGACGACGUUGAUAGGCCGGGUGUGUAAGCGCAGCGAUGCGUUGAGCUAACCGGUACUAAUGAACCGUGAGGCUUAACCUU